This 402-nucleotide ribosomal RNA is filed under the name Verrucomicrobiota bacterium. Its description in RNAcentral is "Verrucomicrobia bacterium partial 16S ribosomal RNA". It matches the Rfam family "Bacterial small subunit ribosomal RNA", at positions 355 to 776 of the family's 1533-position model. Lineage: Bacteria; Pseudomonadati; Verrucomicrobiota. The record is from RNAcentral.
UGGGGAAUUUUGCACAAUGGGGGAAACCCUGAUGCAGCGACGCCGCGUGAUUUAGAAGGCCUUCGGGUUGUAAAAAUCUUUUUUAUGGGAUGAAAAUGACAGUACCAUAAGAAUAAGGUCCGGCUAAAUACGUGCCAGCAGCCGCGGUAAUACGUAUGGACCGAGCGUUGUCCGGAAUCAUUGGGCGUAAAGGGUACGUAGGCGGUCUAUUAAGUCAGGUGUGAAAGCGUGAGGCUUAACCUCAUUAAGCACUUGAAACUGAUAGACUUGAGUGAAGGAGAGGAAAGUGGAAUUCCUAGUGUAGCGGUGAAAUGCGUAGAUAUUAGGAGGAAUACCGGUGGCGAAGGCGACUUUCUGGACUUUUACUGACGCUCAGGUACGAAAGCGUGGGGAGCAAACAGG